Molecule: long non-coding RNA, 446 nt
Organism: Durio zibethinus
Lineage: Eukaryota; Viridiplantae; Streptophyta; Magnoliopsida; Malvales; Malvaceae
Source: RefSeq, a predicted model, not a curated record
AGGAACAAUCCAGUUGUGGGCAUUUUUUCCCGUCCCGAGAACACAAAAAAAAAAAAAAAGAAUUUACCUUCUUUUUUCUCCGACUGAUUUGGUUACGAAUUUGGAACUGAAAUUGGCAUCGAAUUUUUAGUUUCUUUUUCGCUAUCCCUCAGCAAAGAACCGAAGCAUUAAUCAGUUAUCGCAAUUGGGAGUCGAACAUUCGCUGAUUCUUCGGAAUAUCAGUCUUCCAUUUUCGUCAUUCGAAACACUACAUCAAGAUCGGGCUAAUAAUGCGCAUUUAGUAAUAAAUUUUGCCUUACAAUAUAUGAAGAAGUAGAUAAAUCUAUGGUUUCCUGGGAGAGAGCUGAAAUAACGUGGAGACUGUAUCUAAUUUUUGAGAGAUUUCAGGAAAUGCUCACCUGCAACCAUUGAAUUUGCACCCUUUGAGUUCUGAGAGGCAGCCAUCC